UUUUAAGGUGAUCCUUGUCAAAGUCUGAUCUCAGAUCUCAGAAGCUAAGCAGGGCUGGUUAGCACUUGGAUGGGAGACCAUUGGGAAUACAAGGUGCCAC
This 100-nucleotide ribosomal RNA is filed under the name Periophthalmus magnuspinnatus. The record is from RNAcentral. Lineage: Eukaryota; Metazoa; Chordata; Actinopteri; Gobiiformes; Gobiidae.